UCAGGUGGCCGCAGAGAAUAGGCCCAAGCGACUGUUUUCCAAAAACAUAGGUUUCUGCUAAGUCGCAAGACGAUGUAUAGGAGCUGACGCCUGCCCGGUGCUGGAAGGUUAAGGGGAUCUGUUAGAGCAAUCGAAGCAGUGAACUUAAGCACCAGUAAACGGCGGCCGUAACUAUAACGGUCCUAAGGUAGCGAAAUUCCUUGUCGGGUAAGUUCCGACCCGCACGAAAGGCGUAACGAUUUGGGCACUGUCUCAACAACAGACUCGGUGAAAUUGUA
RNAcentral lists this ribosomal RNA (278 nucleotides) under Clostridioides difficile. Its description in RNAcentral is "partial 23S ribosomal RNA". It matches the Rfam family "Bacterial large subunit ribosomal RNA", at positions 1769 to 2046 of the family's 2925-position model. Lineage: Bacteria; Bacillati; Bacillota; Clostridia; Peptostreptococcales; Peptostreptococcaceae. The record is from RNAcentral.